UACGUAGGGUGCAAGCGUUAUCCGGAAUUAUUGGGCGUAAAGAGCUCGUAGGUGGUUUGUCGCGUUGUUCGUGAAAACUCACAGCUUAACUGUGGGCGUGCGGGUGAUACGGGCAGACUGGAGUACUGCAGGGGAGACUGGAAUUCCUGGUGUAGCGGUGGAAUGCGCAGAUAUCAGGAGGAACACCGGUGGCGAAGGCGGGUCUCUGGGCAGUAACUGACGCUGAGGAGCGAAAGCGUGGGGAGCGAACAGG
Molecule: ribosomal RNA, 253 nt
Filed under: uncultured bacterium
Lineage: Bacteria
Description: partial 16S ribosomal RNA
Rfam family: Bacterial small subunit ribosomal RNA
Source: RNAcentral